AUGUGUAUACCUUCUUCCAAGUUUGGAGUCAUUCAUCUAGCUUCUGAUGUUGCUACUGCGUCAUUUUGCUCCAGCCACAAGAGCAGACAUUGCAGAAUGUCUGUUCCUGGUUGGCCUCGUCUGAAACUCUUGAACUUGAGCACGCUCAGUGCUCCUUUCCUUGGGCUCUUCCAUCUUUCCCUCCCGUCCCCUCCUGCCUGCCACUCUCUGGGUCCCCACUGGCCAUCAGAGGAACAAGGGCAUAAAGCCAAGCAAGUCACUGGGGGGAAGAAUUCCAGGGAAAGGGGCACAAGACCUCAGGAAGCCACUCAGGAGGAGGAAUGGUACCCAGGGCAGUGAAAGUUCUCAAGCUGCCCUCUGGGGCUUGACAAGAGGAGAAAAGCAGGGCCAGAAGAAAGGGCUUGAGGGAAAGCUGCUGUGGAGGUUUAAUUGCCAAACCCCUGUUGAGAAUAAAUACUAACAUUGCCCACCCACCACCAUGCCCUUGGCCAGAGGCCCCCAUUCCAACACAGCCACCCAGGAAAGAAUGGUAAGGCCACCACUUAUGGAGAAGAGCCAGAAGGGAGAAGCCGGAGGCCUGCAGCUACGAAACUAUUCACACUGGAGUUCUGAAAGAAACAAUACCAUAAGCUCUAAUUGGGAAUUGUAAUCAGGAAAGGAAUUCCCCAUAUAAAAAUAGGUGUUCUGUGCUAUGAAUCAUGUAACUUUGUGUACAGUAUAAUGGAAGAGAUACUAGGAGUUUUUGCUUCAUCCGUAAGUCAGAUAUGAAUGCCAGUUUUGCCGCUGGGUGUAAACCCUCAUCCCUACCCUAAAGUUUUCUUUCCCAUUCCCUCCAAACCCAAAGAUCAGACUACUGUUAAAUUUCACCAUAUGAUUCGAUUUUGCAAAGACGGGAGGCAAGCGGAGUGAUUUGCAUCAAUGGAAUUGCACUGACAGUGUUUCUUAAUAGGAUUACUAAAGUUUUUAAUAUAAAAUGAUUUUUUAAAAAAUCAGGAGUUGAUAUUAGGUACUAGGACAUUAGUUCAGAUGAAUUC
This 1034-nucleotide long non-coding RNA is filed under the name Capra hircus (goat). RNAcentral describes it as "lncRNA (ENSCHIG00010008102.1)". Lineage: Eukaryota; Metazoa; Chordata; Mammalia; Artiodactyla; Bovidae. The record is from RNAcentral.